Molecule: long non-coding RNA, 314 nt
Filed under: Ricinus communis (castor bean)
Lineage: Eukaryota; Viridiplantae; Streptophyta; Magnoliopsida; Malpighiales; Euphorbiaceae
Description: long non-coding RNA (RCOM_LNC003063)
Source: RNAcentral
CCUUGGCCAUUGUUAUUCAUCACUAUCGAGAAAGCGAGAGUGGCGAAGGCGGAGCUAUUGGUCAUCACAAUAUUACCGUUGGCGCCUGCACCUUCUCCAUCAACAAAAGUGGAACAUAUUAAACAUGAUGGUGGUUAUUUGAAAAGUUUAAAGAAAUGAUUGGAGUAAUGAGUUAUUAACGAGUUUGAUGAAGGCAACAGAUGUGGUGACAGUGGAUUUUAGGUCCAAUAGGUGGUGAUGGAGGCAGGCGGUGGUGGAGAGGCGGUGAGAUGGUUGUAUUGCUUGUUCUCAUUGAGUUCAAAAAAUCUUUUAAU